RNAcentral lists this ribosomal RNA (313 nucleotides) under Tapinoma sessile (odorous house ant). RNAcentral's name for it is "partial 12S ribosomal RNA". Lineage: Eukaryota; Metazoa; Arthropoda; Insecta; Hymenoptera; Formicidae. The record is from RNAcentral.
AAAAUAAAAUAAGUAUAAAUUAGAGUAGUAAAUGUUAAAUCAUUAAAUUUAAAUAAUUUGGCAGUAUUUUUUAUAUUAGAGGAACUUGUUUUUUAAUUGAUAAUCCACGUUUAUAAUUACUUAAUUAAAGUUUUUAUGUAUUGUUGUUUAAAAUUUAUCAUGUAAUUAUGGGAUAUUUAAUAUUUUUAAUAUAAAAAUAAUUCAAAUCAAAAUGUAGAAUAAUUAAGAUAAAAUGAGUUACAAUUAUUUAAAAUAUUUUGGAUUUUAAUAAUUAUAUUAUUAGAUAAAAUUGGAUUUAAAAGUAAAAUUAAUU